This is a long non-coding RNA of Limulus polyphemus (Atlantic horseshoe crab), 258 nucleotides long. RefSeq lists it as uncharacterized. NCBI's taxonomy places the organism in Eukaryota, Metazoa, Arthropoda, Merostomata, Xiphosura, Limulidae. The record is from RefSeq and is a predicted model, not a curated record. The transcript is spliced from 3 exons.
UGUAUUUACUUGCUUUUCAGGUAUUUGACUGUUCCCAUAUCGGUUAUAACCAUAAGGAGAGUGAUUAUCAAAUAGUUACGGACUGCAUAAACAAACAAAAUAUGCUGCUUGGAAACAAUGAACUGUUGUAAAUUUGAAAAUAUCAAAUACCAGUUUAUUUCAAAAGCCAUUUCUUUGAAUUAUAUUUGUCGUACUAAUACUAUUAUUAAAUAUGUAAACAAAACUUUUUAUUAAAUAAAGAUAUCUUUCUAUGAUUAA